RNAcentral lists this ribosomal RNA (264 nucleotides) under uncultured Ascomycota. Its description in RNAcentral is "partial 18S ribosomal RNA". It matches the Rfam family "Eukaryotic small subunit ribosomal RNA", at positions 619 to 888 of the family's 1831-position model. The record is from RNAcentral. Lineage: Eukaryota; Fungi; Ascomycota.
UUAAAAAGCUCGUAGUUGAACCUUGGGCCUGGCUGGCCGGUCCGCCUCACCGCGUGUACUGGUCCGGCCGGGCCUUUCCCUCUGUGGAACCCCAUGCCCUUCACUGGGUGUGGCGGGGAAACAGGACUUUUACUUUGAAAAAAUUAGAGUGCUCUAGGCAGGCCUAUGCUCGAAUACAUUAGCAUGGAAUAAUAGAAUAGGACGUGUGGUUCUAUUUUGUUGGUUUCUAGGACCGCCGUAAUGAUUAAUAGGGACAGUCGGGGG